This 497-nucleotide ribosomal RNA is filed under the name uncultured bacterium. Its description in RNAcentral is "partial 16S ribosomal RNA". It matches the Rfam family "Bacterial small subunit ribosomal RNA", at positions 28 to 507 of the family's 1533-position model. The record is from RNAcentral.
GAUGAACGCUGGCGGCGUGCCUAAUACAUGCAAGUCGAGCGAACAGAUGAGGAGCUUGCUCCUCUGACGUUAGCGGCGGACGGGUGAGUAACACGUGGAUAACCUACCUAUAAGACUGGGAUAACUUCGGGAAACCGGAGCUAAUACCGGAUAAUAUAUUGAACCGCAUGGUUCAAUAGUGAAAAACGGUUUUGCUGUCACUUAUAGAUGGAUCCGCGCCGCAUUAGCUAGUUGGUAAGGUAACGGCUUACCAAGGCAACGAUGCGUAGCCGACCUGAGAGGGGGAUCGGCCACACGGGAACUGAGACACGGUCCAGACUCCUACGGGAGGCAGCAGUAGGGAAUCUUCCGCAAUGGGCGAAAGCCUGACGGAGCAACGCCGCGUGAGUGAUGAAGGUCUUCGGAUCGUAAAACUCUGUUAUUAGGGAAGAACAAAUGUGUAAGUAACUAUGCACGUCUUGACGGUACCUAAUCAGAAAGCCACGGCUAACUACGUG